UCAGCGACUUACAUUCUGUGGCGAGGUUAACCGGAUAGGGAAGCCGAAGCGAAAGCGAGUUCGAAUAGAGCGAAAAGUCGCAGGGUGUAGACCCGAAACCAGAUGAGCUAUCCAUGGCCAGGUUGAAGGUGUGGUAACACACACUGGAGGACCGAACCGACUAGUGUUGCAAAAUUAGCGGAUGAGCUGUGGAUAGGGGUGAAAGGCCAAACAAAUCUGGAGAUAGCUGGUUCUCCCCGAAAACUAUUGAGGUAGUGCCUCGUGUUGAGGCUCCAGGGGGUAGAGCACUGUUUUGGCUAGGGGGACAUGUAGUCUUACCAAACCAAGGCAAACUCCGAAUACCUGGAAGCUAUACACGGGAGACAGAGCACCGGGUGCUAACGUCCGGACUCAAAAGGGAAACAACCCAGACCGCCGGCUAAGGUCCCCAAUAGCAGCUAAGUGGAAAACGAAGUGGAAAGGCCGUGACAACCAGGAAGUUGGCUUAGAAGCAGCCAUCCUUCAAAGAAAGCGUAAUAGCUCACUGGUCGAGUCUUUCUGCGCGGAAGAUGUAACGGGGCUAAGCUGCUAACCGAAGCCGCGGAUGCAUGGAAAAAUCCAUGCGUGGUAGGGGAGCGUUCUGUAAGUCUGAGAAGGCGGAUUGAGAAGUCUGCUGGAGAUAUCAGAAGUGCGAAUGCUGACAUGAGUAACGUUAAAGAGGGUGAAAAGCCCUCUCGCCGCAAGCCCAAGGUUUCCUGCUCUACGUUCAUCGGAGCAGGGUGAGUCGGCCCCUAAGGUCAGGCCGAAAGGCGUAGCCGAUGGGAACCGGGUUAAUAUUCCCGGACCGCUGUCAGAUGCGAAGGGGUGACGGAGAGGCUAAGGUCAUCCGAGUGUUGGACUACUCGGUACUUAGACGAGGACGGUUGGCAGGCAAAUCCGCCAACGGAUCGUCCGGAUCGGAAGUGGUGCUCCCACGGGAGCGAAGUGAUUGGAAACUCUUCCAGGAAAAACCUCUAAGCUACAGUCUGACAGGACCGUACCGCAAACCGACACUGGUGGGCGAGCUGAAUAUGCUCAGGCGCUUGAGAGAACUCGGGAGAAGGAACUCGGCAAAUUGACACCGUAACUUCGGAAGAAGGUGUGCCGCAGUAGCGUGAGAGGAGAAACACCUUGAGCGUGAGACGGUCUCAGAGAAUAGGUGGCUGCGACUGUUUAUUAAAAACACAGCACUCUGCAAAGUCGAAAGACGACGUAUAGGGUGUGAUGCCUGCCCGGUGCUGGAAGAUUAAUUGAUGGGCUGAGAGGCCUUGAUCGAAGUCCCAGUAAACGGCGGCCGUAACUAUAACGGUCCUAAGGUAGCGAAAUUCCUUGUCGGGUAAGUUCCGACCUGCACGAAUGGCAUAACGAUGGCCACACUGUCUCCUCCCGAGACUCAGUGAAGUUGAAGUGUUUGUGAUGAUGCAAUCUACCCGCGGCUAGACGGGAAGACCCCAUGAACCUUUACUGCAGCUUUGCAUUGAACUGUGAACCGAUUUGUGUAGGAUAGGUGGGAGACAGAGAAGGAGGAGCGCCAGCUCCUCUGGAGUCAACCUUGAAAUACCACCCUGAUUUGUUUGCGGUUCUAACCAAGACAGGACCACACUGUUUGGGACCGUGCAUGGUAGGCAGUUUGACUGGGGCGGUCUCCUCCUAAAGGGUAACGGAGGAGUACGAAGGUACGCUAGGUACGGUCGGAAAUCGUGCUGAUAGUGCAAUGGCAAAAGCGUGCUUGACUGCGAGAGCCACAACUCGAGCAGAUGCGAAAGCAGGUCAUAGUGAUCCGGUGGCACUGAAUGGAAGGGCCAUCGCUCAACGGAUAAAAGG
RNAcentral lists this ribosomal RNA (1842 nucleotides) under human gut metagenome. RNAcentral's name for it is "bacterial LSU rRNA". It matches the Rfam family "Bacterial large subunit ribosomal RNA", at positions 620 to 2463 of the family's 2925-position model. The record is from RNAcentral.